Molecule: ribosomal RNA, 467 nt
Filed under: uncultured bacterium
Lineage: Bacteria
Description: partial 16S ribosomal RNA
Rfam family: Bacterial small subunit ribosomal RNA
Source: RNAcentral
GAUGAACGCUGACAGAAUGCUUAACACAUGCAAGUCAACUUGAAUUUGGGUUUUUAACUUAGGUUUGGGUGGCGGACGGGUGAGUAACGCGUAAAGAACUUGCCUCACAGCUAGGGACAACAUUUGGAAACGAAUGCUAAUACCUAAUAUUAUGAUAAUAGGGCAUCCUAUAAUUAUGAAAGCUAUAAGCGCUGUGAGAGAGCUUUGCGUCCCAUUAGCUAGUUGGAGAGGUAACGGCUCACCAAGGCGAUGAUGGGUAGCCGGUCUGAGAGGGUGAUCGGCCACAAGGGGACUGAGACACGGCCCUUACUCCUGCGGGAGGCAGCAGUGGGGAAUAUUGGACAAUGGACCGAGAGUCUGAUCCAGCAAUUCUGUGUGCACGAUGAAGUUUUUCGGAAUGUAAAGUGCUUUCAGUUGGGAAGAAACAAAUGACGGUACCAACAGAAGAAGUGACGGCUAAAUACGUG